This 468-nucleotide ribosomal RNA is filed under the name uncultured bacterium. RNAcentral's name for it is "partial 16S ribosomal RNA". It matches the Rfam family "Bacterial small subunit ribosomal RNA", at positions 28 to 507 of the family's 1533-position model. The record is from RNAcentral.
GACGAACGCUGGCGGCGUGCUUAACACAUGCAAGUCGAACGGAAAGGCCCUGCUUUUGUGGGGUGCUCGAGUGGCGAACGGGUGAGUAACACGUGAGUAACCUGCCCUUGACUUUGGGAUAACUUCAGGAAACUGGGGCUAAUACCGGAUAGGAGCUCCUGCUGCAUGGUGGGGGUUGGAAAGUUUCGGCGGUUGGGGAUGGACUCGCGGCUUAUCAGCUUGUUGGUGGGGUAGUGGCUUACCAAGGCUUUGACGGGUAGCCGGCCUGAGAGGGUGACCGGCCACAUUGGGACUGAGAUACGGCCCAGACUGCUACGGGAGGCAGCAGGGGGGAAUAUUGCACAAUGGGCGGAAGCCUGAUGAAGCAACGCCGCGUGCGGGAUGACGGCCUUAGGGUUGUAAACCGCUUUCGCCUGUGACGAAGCGUGAGUGACGGUAAUGGGUAAAGAAGCACCGGCUAACUACGUG